RNAcentral lists this ribosomal RNA (759 nucleotides) under Beltraniella humicola. RNAcentral describes it as "partial large subunit ribosomal RNA". It matches the Rfam family "Eukaryotic large subunit ribosomal RNA", at positions 37 to 824 of the family's 3401-position model. Lineage: Eukaryota; Fungi; Ascomycota; Sordariomycetes; Amphisphaeriales; Beltraniaceae. The record is from RNAcentral.
AGCAUAUCAAUAAGCGGAGGAAAAGAAACCAACAGGGAUUCCCCUAGUAACGGCGAGUGAAGCGGGAACAGCUCAAAUUUGAAAUCUGGCCCUCGGGUCCGAAUUGUAAUUUGCAGAGGAUGCUUUUGGUUAGGUACUUUCCGAGUUCCCUGGAACGGGACGCCUUAGAGGGUGAGAGCCCCGUACGGUUGGAUACCGAGCCUUUGUAAAGCUCCUUCGACGAGUCGAGUAGUUUGGGAAUGCUGCUCUAAAUGGGAGGUAAAUUUCUUCUAAAGCUAAAUACCGGCCAGAGACCGAUAGCGCACAAGUAGAGUGAUCGAAAGAUGAAAAGCACUUUGAAAAGAGGGUUAAAUAGCACGUGAAAUUGUUGAAAGGGAAGCGUUUAUGACCAGACUUUUUCCAGGCGGAUCAUCCGGUGUUCUCACCGGUGCACUUCGUCUGGUUGAGGCCAGCAUCGGUUUUCGUAGAGGGAUAAAAGCUUUAGGAAUGUGGUUCCUCCGGGAAUGUUAUAGCCUAUUGUAUAAUACCUCUACGGGGACCGAGGUUCGCGCUCUGCAAGGAUGCUGGCGUAAUGGUCAUCAACGACCCGUCUUGAAACACGGACCAAGGAGUCGAACAUUUGUGCGAGUGUUGGGGUGGAAAACCCUCACGCGUAAUGAAAGUGAACGGAGGUGAGAGCCCUUACGGGUGCAUCAUCGACCGAUCCUGAUGUUUUCGGAUGGAUUUGAGUAAGAGCAUAACUGUUCGGACCCGAAAGAU